UUCGCUCAGCAUCUUUCAGAUUAUUGUUCCUCUCUCUCUUAUUCCUUCUUUUGAUUAUUGUUCUUGUUUUUUUUCUGUGCAGGAACCCUCCUCUCCCAUUCCAAAUCUCAUUGUGCCCGUCGUCCUCUACUCCCUCCCGGCCUAAAUCUUGCUUGCUCAGCGCCGCCCACGCCCUACUACCACAUCGGACUUGCCCCGACCCCCCACCGCUGGAGUGCUUCGAGACAGAGGAAAUCUGUGCCGCCCCCUACAAACCAGCUCCUUGUCUGUGCCGCGUGGAGUGGUUCAAGACGGAGGAAUACAGCAGCAGCAGUCGUAGCCUCCGCUGGUGGAGCAAGCAACUAGGAGCGUUCUAGCAUCUGCACCACUCCGAUCUGUGCCCUCUAUUGCGGAUCCAUCAGUAAGCAAGGCACAUAAUUCUCGAAAAGGUUUGAACCCAUCAAAGGGCUCAAGAUGCUAAAGUUCUCCCUAGGUGAAAGUAUUGUGGAGCUGGCUCACUAAACCCAACGAGUUGUAGAUUGCUGCAUCGAAGUCAUCCUCUUAUGGGGACAUGUGGACUAUGGCUAGUGCUCUCAAGAUGAGCAUUGUAUGGCCAUACAAUAAAAUAAAGGAAUGCAAGAAGGCAUCUAGUCACCUCUCAAGGGCACUUCAGGAUGUGUUGGGCAGUUUUUGACUUGAGUUUCUGGAAAAUGGUUCUCCACAAAACCUAUGGAUGUGCUUUUGGUUUUUUAGUUCCUAGAAAUGAUUGUGUGCACAAACCUUAGUAUAUCAAGUGCUAACUAUUAUAUUGCUUGCUGGGUGUGCAUUCAAGUAAGCAUUCGGUGGCUGGCAAUAUUGUAUGAUGUAAUGUGACUUUGUUGGAUGAAGUAAUGUGCAAGAUAAUAUUGUGAU
Oryza brachyantha (malo sina) is the source of this 891-nucleotide long non-coding RNA. RefSeq lists it as uncharacterized. The transcript has 5 exons. NCBI's taxonomy places the organism in Eukaryota, Viridiplantae, Streptophyta, Magnoliopsida, Poales, Poaceae. The record is from RefSeq and is a predicted model, not a curated record.